GAUGAACGCUGGCGGCGUGCUUAACACAUGCAAGUCGAACGGUAACGCCCUGCUUGCUUGGUGUAUUCGUGGGGAACGGGUGUGUGAAACAUGAGUAUACCGCCCUCUACUCUUUGGUAUGCCCUGAAGAAUGGGGCGCUAACUGGAUAGAGACGUCUACCGCACGGUGGGUGUUGGAGAGAGUUUCGGUUUUGGAUGGUCUCGCGGCCUAUCAGCUUGUUGGUGGUGGAAUGGCUCACCACGGCGGCGACGGGUGGUCGGCAGGAGAGGGUGACCGGCCACACUGGGACUGAGAGACGGCCCAGACUCCUACGGGAGGCAGCAGUGGGGAAUAUUGCACAAUGGGCGGAAGCCUGAUGCAGCGACGCCGCGUGAGGGAUGACGGCCUUCGGGUUGUAAACCGCUUUCGGUUGGGACGAAGCGAGAGUGACGGUACCUGAAGAAGAAGCACCGGCUAACUACGUG
RNAcentral lists this ribosomal RNA (465 nucleotides) under uncultured bacterium. RNAcentral describes it as "partial 16S ribosomal RNA". It matches the Rfam family "Bacterial small subunit ribosomal RNA", at positions 28 to 507 of the family's 1533-position model. The record is from RNAcentral.